RNAcentral lists this long non-coding RNA (2502 nucleotides) under Nicotiana tabacum (common tobacco). RNAcentral's name for it is "long non-coding RNA (NTAB_LNC003823)". Lineage: Eukaryota; Viridiplantae; Streptophyta; Magnoliopsida; Solanales; Solanaceae. The record is from RNAcentral.
AAGAUUCAAAAUUUUAUUCUUCUCUAUCACAAAAUUUUCCUCUAGUGGGACCACAGACACACACAACUCACACCCACCCGUCUCCUUCCAACUCAAUUUUCUCUCCCUCAUCUCUCUUGUAAAACAGAACACAAAAGAAAAAGGAGAAGAUCAGCCAAGAAACCCCAUUGAAACCAGCUAAAAAACACAUCAAAACUCAGCCACUAAACAGUCCCAAAAUCACUCCGAAAACAGCCUGAAAUCACCCCCUAAAACAGUUCAAAAAGCAUCAAAAACAGCCCUAAAAAUGAGCUGAAAACCUCCACCAAACAGCUCCGAAAACAGUCUCGAAACACCCCAGAAAUAGUCUUGUCUCCGUUGUAAUUAAACCAUCUCCAACCAGCUCCUUUUCCUCUAACAAACAGCUACAAAACCGUCUUGAAACCAGUCCCAAACCCAACCAGAAACGAUCCUCAUUUCUGUUUUCAAAACGACACCACAGGUUCCUAAAAAAUGACACGAAGACGUACAUGUCGCAACUGAGGUUCCUUCGGCUUCCGUCGCUCGUGGUUUGCUAUUAAGGUACAAUGAAAGCGUUGUUGUUGUGCUCAUUUUCAACUGCUGUAGAUCUCAUUUAGCGAAUAAACAUUGGAGGUCUACUUUCUAUUUUUGUUUUGCGUUGGAGAUAUAAAAAUUUAUGUUUCGUUCAUAUUAUUUUUUUUAGACAAACUUUGAAUGCAUCUUGAUUUUGCUUGAGUGCAUUGACUGUUGGAUACUUUGUUAUUCUUCAUUUCUUUGCCUACUGUGUUAGCAUUGAACUUGCUUCAAUAGUUUCCUUUUUGCUUAAGAGUUUUAUUGGUAGUUUGGACCUGAGUUUAAUUAAUAAUGGGCUGGAUUACAAAAUGAACUAUUAACUAAGAUAUUUGGGCCAUGGGGUGGUAAGAACUUGGUUAUUUAGAGUUUAAAUGGGGCAUAGAUAUAUGUAAGAACCGUGUGGUAUAAGACUUGAGCCAUGUGAAAAUAAACUGAAGAGAAUGUCAAUUUUGUUAGAUCAAACGACUUAGUAAUAGAUGUAAAAAAUUAUUUUGAUAACUCCACAUCCAUAAACUAUUGUCCUUACAAUAAUCGCUAGUUUAGAAAAUAAUUCUUAUAAACACUCGUAUUUGCUUUUAGGCACGUUAAUAAUAAAAUAUUGUGACUAUGGGUACGAUUCCCGUGACAUAGUCAUGAUACAUAAUCUUCAAUUCGAGUGCAGGUUUCAUGCGACGUGACCAUAACUUCAAAUAAUAAUAAUAAUAAAUAAACAUGUUGCAAAUCGCGGGUGCGUUUCACGUGGCGCGAUUCACAAUGUGUACAAAAACAAUGAGUGUGCGACAUCUCGACUUGUUCAGAUAAUUCCAUAUUUUUAAUAAAUAAAAGCGGACAUAGGUAAAACAUGAAAAUCAAUAAAACACAGUUUAUCCAAAAUAAUAUAAGCCAAAUAUUGUCAAUAAAGUGACCGUGCUAGAACCACGGGACUCGAGGAAUGUCUUACACCUUCUCCUCGGUCAACAGAAUUCCUUAUCCGGAUUUUAUUUUCGCAGACUAAUAAUAAAAGAGUCAAACAUUCCUUUGACUAGGGAUUCAAAUAAAAUAUGACUUGGAACACCGAAAAAAUCAAUUUCAAGUGACGACUCUGUAAAUAAAAUAAUCUUUAUUCAAAUUUGUCGCUUCAAUUGGAAAAACUCUUUAACCCACAAUCUAUAACAUAACACAUAAUAUCUUUUUGGGGGUAAUAUCAAGAAUUAUAUAUGAUAAGUGGCUUGCUCAUGAAAUAUUUCUAGAACACUCUGAAUAUAAAUCUAAAGCUCCAUUAAUUAUCACACGUCAAUUUACUCAACGAGGCAAUUUUAAUUAUUCCAAGGGCAAAACAUCAAAUACUCAAAACCGUGGUGGUCACUCUUUAAAUUCUUCUGCGAACUAUCGAACCCAGCCUGCAUGGCAACAAUUUCAACAACAGGCCAACAAACAAUUGCACCACUCAACAAAACAAAGUUCAGUGUCAAUUAUGUGAUAAAUUUGGACACAUUGCAAAUGUGUGUCGUUCAAAAGCUCACAAUCCCUUUGAGGCACAUGCAAACUUUAUCAGUCGAUCCUACUAUGGCAUCAACACAGCAGGUUCUUGGGUAGUAGACUCGGGAGCAUCUCACCAUAUCACAGAUAGUCCAUAUAAUCUACAAUACGCAUUUGAAUUCUCAAGCAAUGAAGAGAUUAUAAUUGGUGAUGGUAAUGGCAUUUCAAUCACUCACAUUGCAGUACUACUCUUUCCUCUCCUUCUAAUAUUACUCCCCUAUAAUUGAACAAUGUUCCCCUAAUAUUAAAAGAAAGUUAAUUUCUGUUGCUCAGUUUUAUCGACAAAAUCUUACAUUUAUUGAAUUUUCCCCCUACUCUUUUCAUGUGAAGGAUUUGACAGCAGGGGCAUACCCACUUCAAGGUCAGAGUAAAAGGAUAUAUUCACGAGUGGCCAAUGAAUAAAUUAGGCUC